GAUGAACGCUUGCGGCGUGCUUAACACAUGCAAGUCGAACGGAAAGGCUCCUGCUUGCAGGAGUACUCGAGUGGCGAGCGGGUGAGUAACACGUGGGUGAUCUGCCCUGCACUUCGGGAUAAGCCUGGGAAACUGGGUCUAAUACCGGAUAGGACGAUGGUUUGGAUGCCAUUGUGGAAAGUUUUUCGGUGUGGGAUGAGCUCGCGGCCUAUCAGCUUGUUGGUGGGGUAAUGGCCUACCAAGGCGUCGACGGGUAGCCGGCCUGAGAGGGUGUACGGCCACAUUGGGACUGAGAUACGGCCCAGACUCCUACGGGAGGCAGCAGUGGGGAAUAUUGCACAAUGGGCGCAAGCCUGAUGCAGCGACGCCGCGUGGGGGAUGACGGCCUUCGGGUUGUAAACUCCCUUCGCUAGGGACGAAGCGUUAUGUGACGGUACCUGGAGAAGAAGCACCGGCUAACUACGUGCCAGCAGCCGCGGUAAUACGUAGGGUGCGAGCGUUGUCCGGAAUUACUGGGCGUAAAGAGCUCGUAGGUGGUUUGUCGCGUCGUUUGUGUAAGCCCGCAGCUUAACUGCGGGACUGCAGGCGAUACGGGCAUAACUUGAGUGCUGUAGGGGAGACUGGAAUUCCUGGUGUAGCGGUGGAAUGCGCAGAUAUCAGGAGGAACACCGAUGGCGAAGGCAGGUCUCUGGGCAGUAACUGACGCUGAGGAGCGAAAGCAUGGGUAGCGAACAGGAUUAGAUACCCUGGUAGUCCAUGCCGUAAACGGUGGGCGCUAGGUGUGAGUCCCUUCCACGGGGUUCGUGCCGUAGCUAACGCAUUAAGCGCCCCGCCUGGGGAGUACGGCCGCAAGGCUAAAACUCAAAGGAAUUGACGGGGGCCCGCACAAGCGGCGGAGCAUGUGGAUUAAUUCGAUGCAACGCGAAGAACCUUACCUGGGCUUGACAUACACCAGACCGGGCCAGAGAUGGUCUUUCCCUUUGUGGUUGGUGUACAGGUGGUGCAUGGUUGUCGUCAGCUCGUGUCGUGAGAUGUUGGGUUAAGUCCCGCAACGAGCGCAACCCUUGUCUUAUGUUGCCAGCACGUUAUGGUGGGGACUCGUGAGAGACUGCCGGGGUUAACUCGGAGGAAGGUGGGGAUGACGUCAAAUCAUCAUGCCCCUUAUGUCCAGGGCUUCACACAUGCUACAAUGGUCGGUACAACGCGUCUGCGAGCCUGUGAGGGUGAGCUAAUCGCUGUAAAGCCGGUCGUAGUUCGGAUUGGGGUCUGCAAUUCGACCCCAUGAAGUCGGAGUCGCUAGUAAUCGCAGAUCAGCAACGCUGCGGUGAAUACGUUCCCGGGCCU
This 1344-nucleotide ribosomal RNA is filed under the name uncultured bacterium. RNAcentral describes it as "bacterial SSU rRNA". It matches the Rfam family "Bacterial small subunit ribosomal RNA", at positions 28 to 1381 of the family's 1533-position model. The record is from RNAcentral.